CGGGGUGUGGCGCAGUUGGCUAGCGCGCCUGCUUUGGGAGCAGGAGGUCGGCGGUUCAAGUCCGCCCACCCCGACCA
Molecule: transfer RNA, 77 nt
Filed under: Elusimicrobia bacterium CG08_land_8_20_14_0_20_44_26
Lineage: Bacteria; Pseudomonadati; Elusimicrobiota
Description: tRNA-Pro
Rfam family: tRNA
About the family: Transfer RNA (tRNA) molecules are approximately 80 nucleotides in length.
Source: RNAcentral